Molecule: unclassified non-coding RNA, 158 nt
Filed under: uncultured Polyporales
Lineage: Eukaryota; Fungi; Basidiomycota; Agaricomycetes; Polyporales
Description: sequence contains ITS1
Source: RNAcentral
ACGAGAUCGAUUCGGGACUGUGCUGGCGCAAGCAACGUGCACGUCCCUUCUCAUCCACACACACCCGUGCACUCGUGGGGCGGCGCUCUCGAACGAAGCCGCCCAUUUUUCACACACGCCGUCGUCGUUUGGGAAUGUAGUCUUUUAUGAAAUAAAUA